AGGGAGACCUAAUUCAGGUAGGAGACGAAAAAAAGUAGUCCCUACCAAGAAUCAAUCCCAAAAGGUCGGAGCGAGGCAAAAUUGGCUUUCAAACUAGGUUCUGGGUUCACAUAAGACCUGAAUCAGGAACAAGGGCUAUUAGCUCAGGUGGUUAGAGCGCACCCCUGAUAAGGGUGAGGUCCCUGGUUCGAGUCCAGGAUGGCCCACCUGCACAGGUGGCAAAAACAAAGAAAAGAAGCUCCGAAUCAGCACCUUAUCUUACUCAUAUAGUAAGUAAGAGAGAAUGCUGGCUCUGAGUUCAGAGUCCAGAGGAACCUUGAAAACUGCAUAGAGCUAGGUGAAAAAGCCAAAAAAGAAGACCGCAAGGUCAAGCUAAUAAGGGCUAACGGUGGAUACCUAG
This 400-nucleotide transfer RNA is filed under the name Microcystis sp. PMC 567.08. Its description in RNAcentral is "partial contains 16S-23S ribosomal RNA intergenic spacer and 23S ribosomal RNA". The stretch from base 133 to 206 matches the Rfam family "tRNA". The record is from RNAcentral. Lineage: Bacteria; Bacillati; Cyanobacteriota; Cyanophyceae; Chroococcales; Microcystaceae.